Molecule: unclassified non-coding RNA, 244 nt
Filed under: plant metagenome
Description: partial contains small subunit ribosomal RNA, internal transcribed spacer 1, and 5.8S ribosomal RNA
Source: RNAcentral
UCUCUGUUGGUGAACCAGCGGAGGGAUCAUUACCGAGUUUACAACUCCCAAACCCAAUGUGAACCAUACCAAACUGUUGCCUCGGCGGGGUCACGCCCCGGGUGCGUCGCAGCCCCGGAACCAGGCGCCCGCCGGAGGGACCAACCAAACUCUUUCUGUAGUCCCCUCGCGGACGUUAUUUUUACAGCUCUGAGCAAAAAUUCAAAAUGAAUCAAAACUUUCAACAACGGAUCUCUUGGUUCUG